Molecule: long non-coding RNA, 1258 nt
Organism: Halichondria panicea
Lineage: Eukaryota; Metazoa; Porifera; Demospongiae; Suberitida; Halichondriidae
Exons: 3
Source: RefSeq, a predicted model, not a curated record
GAGUCUCAGAGAAGUAUGGCUCCAGGUCCUGCAUGGAUCCCAGUCAGCUAAAGCAAGCUUUCUGCUUUAGUGACCCUGUUCCAAUAUUGUUCCUGGUAUAUACAGCUUUCUACUUUAGUGACCCUGUUCCAUUGUUUCUGGACCUGGUACAGAAUCACUUCAGUUAUAAGUAACGCAUGUGCAAGUUUUGUUCAAGCUACAUUUUGCUCGCUUUUAUUAGGCAACGAAGCUUUAACACCGAAAGCUGCCACUAUUAGAAGUACUGACUUGUUGUGUGGAGGCUACCCAUGCUGUAAACGCAGUGCUAGAGCAUCCAGGGACCAUAGUUAUGACACCAGAGAAGUCUCAGGAGAUGAUCUGGCCUCUAUAAAAACAUGAGAGUAGUGUCUCAUAAUUUUACAUGCUGCAAAACUACUGAUCCAUGAUUGCCUGAAGAUUUCUUAUACCUAUAUUAUACUCAAACACUCUAAAUGUUGGAAGGACCUGCGAGAAAAGUGUUGUUUCGUUUACAUUGCUACUAUUUACAGCUCUCGUAUCUAUUGCAUGCAUGUUGCUAAUAAUUACGUCCGACACCUUGCAGCUUGGAUUGGGCUUGGCUGGUUUCACUAUUCUACCGUAUACACGUAUACGAGAGAUCGAGGUUAAACAGACUCGGUCACAGCAAAGUAAUUCUCCAAAAAUAAAUAAUUGUUGAAGUCCGAGUAUUGUGCAAAGAUGACUGAGUUCUUACGCCCUUUAUUGUAUCAAGCCAAGUCUCUACUUAACGACACCCUACACUGUAAGGCUACAGAUGUUAUAGGAACGGCAUGAUGUGUUCCUGUGGGUCCCCUGAUGAGGCUGUGGUAAUAUAGACCAGGCAAGUGUUCUGCUACUAAAUCUUGCCUUUAUGUUCGACAAGAAGUCAUUGCUGAAGAUAAAGAAGCUAAUAAUUACUCCUGAAAGCUUUUAAUAAGCUUUAACUCGACACUCAGGAAGUUAUUCACUCAAGAUCUACUGAUGUAUUAAAAAGUCCACCACUCUUCCUAGCUGGCAGCUCUAGCUGUCUGGGAGGUUUUCUUGAACUGUCUCUUUGAUAAACAGAGCUAGAAGAAGCAACACUGAACUGCUGCAGUAUAAUUAUUCUAUUUUGAUUAGUGUCUCUGAAAGCUGCCAUUGUGGUCACAUUGUCAUACCCUUUUGUAUAAAUUUGGCCGUUUUUUUACAAUUUGUAUGAUGAAAUUGUUGUCAAUUAUUUCGCGCAUGCGCAUACAAGGUAUAC